Molecule: ribosomal RNA, 483 nt
Filed under: uncultured bacterium
Lineage: Bacteria
Description: partial 16S ribosomal RNA
Rfam family: Bacterial small subunit ribosomal RNA
Source: RNAcentral
UUGAACGCUGGCGGCAGGCCUAACACAUGCAAGUCGAGCGGAUGAAGGGGGCUUGCUCCUGGAUUCAGCGGCGGACGGGUGAGUAAUGCCUAGGAAUCUGCCUGGUAGUGGGGGAUAACGUCCGGAAACGGGCGCUAAUACCGCAUACGUCCUGAGGGAGAAAGUGGGGGAUCUUCGGACCUCACGCUAUCAGAUGAGCCUAGGUCGGAUUAGCUAGUUGGUGGGGUAAAGGCCUACCAAGGCGACGAUCCGUAACUGGUCUGAGAGGAUGAUCAGUCACACUGGAACUGAGACACGGUCCUGACUCCUACGGGAGGCAGCAGUGGGGAAUAUUGGACAAUGGGCGAAAGCCUGAUCCAGCCAUGCCGCGUGUGUGAAGAAGGUCUUCGGAUUGUAAAGCACUUUAAGUUGGGAGGAAGGGCAGUAAGUUAAUACCUUGCUGUUUUGACGUUACCAACAGAAUAAGCACCGGCUAACUUCGUG